RNAcentral lists this long non-coding RNA (478 nucleotides) under Pelobates cultripes (western spadefoot toad). Lineage: Eukaryota; Metazoa; Chordata; Amphibia; Anura; Pelobatidae. The record is from RNAcentral.
AUUUCAUGUAUCAGAGGCACAUGGUGAGAACAAUGGAUGAAGCACAUGGUGAGAACAAUGGAUGGCUGCCAUUUUAACUCACAGACACUGUUUUGACUUUUCUACACAGUGCCAUCUUGCCGAUAUUUGGUGCACAAAGACAUCGUUCAGUAGUUUUAAACUACAGAACAGGGGACACUUUAUACAGUAAUUAUUUUUCAUAUAGCCUGUAUAUGUUCUGCGGAAUCUGCAUUAAACUGUAUCUUUCAAACUACUGAACGGAUCUGGGUGAAUUUUGGAUAUGUGGUUCACCCAGAUCCCCCGAUUCAGGGCAUAGAUUUUUAUGGGGUUAUUGCAUGUUUUGGGGUACCUGUGCAAUGUUUUAUAAUACUGUAUUUUCCUGCAUGUGAUAAUUAAGUUAGUCUAUUGUGUUGAAAUAAUUGUAUCACAGGCAGAGGGGAGGAUUUCUGAUGUAAUCAAUGGGAGUGUUAGCUGUGUU